GUGAAUCAUCGAAUCUUUGAACGCACAUUGCGCCCUUUGGCAUUCCGAGGGGCACGUCUGUUCGAGCGUCAUUUAAAUCAUCAAGCACAGCUUGGUCUUGGGCGAGGUCGAGCGACCCGUCCGCAACCCGUUGGCGGUACCGUCCGGCUUCAAGCGUGGCAGAAAAUUUCGCUUCGGGAGCUCUGGCGGCGCCGGCCAGGUAACCUUCACCUAAAGUUUGACCUCGGAUCAGACGGGGAUACCCGCUGAACUUAAGCAUAUCAAUAAGCGGAGGA
RNAcentral lists this unclassified non-coding RNA (275 nucleotides) under fungal sp. Its description in RNAcentral is "partial contains 5.8S ribosomal RNA, internal transcribed spacer 2, and large subunit ribosomal RNA". The stretch from base 1 to 71 matches the Rfam family "5.8S ribosomal RNA", at positions 84 to 154 of the family's 154-position model. Lineage: Eukaryota; Fungi. The record is from RNAcentral.